Molecule: ribosomal RNA, 253 nt
Filed under: uncultured bacterium
Lineage: Bacteria
Description: partial 16S ribosomal RNA
Rfam family: Bacterial small subunit ribosomal RNA
Source: RNAcentral
UACGGGGGGGGUAAGCGUUGUUCGGAAUUACUGGGCGUAAAGGGCUCGUAGGCGGCCAACUAAGUCAGACGUGAAAUCCCUCAGCUUAACUGGGGAACUGCGUCUGAUACUGGAUGGCUUGGAUUUGGGAGAGGGAUGCGGAAUUCCAGGUGUAGCGGUGAAAUGCGUAGAUAUCUGGAGGAACACCGGUGGCGAAGGCGGCAUCCUGGACCGGCAUUGACGCUGAGGAGCGAAAGCCAGGGGAGCAAACGGG